Doryrhamphus excisus (bluestripe pipefish) is the source of this 5770-nucleotide non-coding RNA. NCBI's taxonomy places the organism in Eukaryota, Metazoa, Chordata, Actinopteri, Syngnathiformes, Syngnathidae. The record is from RefSeq and is a predicted model, not a curated record.
GUCGUUUGCUUUCAGGAAGCGGCGCAUCAUCGUCAGCGCGUUCACAACAACAAGGCGGACAGGGGCAAAAACAUCGACCUGACCGCAAGAUAUUUGCUCUGUUUUCAUACGUGGAGUUCAGAAAAAUGGACAAAUGAAGUGACCGCCAGGAUACAAUGUCCUCGUUCCAGGUGGUGGAUUCCUCACCUGGCAGCAGCGUCAGUAUUAUGGAAACGUCCAACUUUGCCCACGUCAUCUUCCAGAAUGUUGGCAAAAGUUUCCUGCCCCAGGCACCCCUGGAGUGUCGCUACACGCUCACCCCUUACAUCACCCCCCACCCAAAAGACUGGGUGGGCAUCUUUAAGGUGGGCUGGAGUACAGCCAGAGAUUACUACACCUUCCUGUGGUCCCCUAUGCCUGACAACUAUGAACCAGGAAGUACUGUGCACAGGACAGUGGUGUUUCAAGGUUAUUAUGUUCCCAAGUCUGACGGGGAGUUCUACCAGUUCUGUUAUGUCACACAUGCCGGCGACAUCAGAGGGGCCAGCACUCCUUUCCAGUUCAAGUCAGCCACGCCUACCGAGGAGCUGCUGACUGUCGCAGAGGAUGACAGCAACUCGGACAUACUGGUGGUCACCACCAAGACGGGACUGCUGGAGCGUGUGGAGGAGGCCCAGCAGGAGCGCAGGGAGCUACUGAAAGCCAUGCGGGUCCUUCAGGAGGAAAAACAGCAGCUGCAGGAUGAGCAGAAGCGACUUGCCCGGGAGCGGGAGCAGGAGAGGGAGACAUGCUGUCUGCUGCGGACACACAACCAGGAGCUGCUGCGUUCCUCACAGUCUUUGUCUGAGGAGCGGGAGGAGGUGAGGAGGAGGCUGACUGAAGCCACGGAUCGUGUUCGCCAGCUGGAGGAGGACCUGCUGGGAGUCACACAACGAGGUCUGCAGAAGGAGACUGAGCUGGACUGUCUGCGUGAUCGCCUGAAGAAGCUUACGGCAGAGCGAGACAGCUUGGAGAUGCAGCUAAAGAACGAGAAGGAUGAGCGGGAUCUCUACAAGGCCCAUCUGCGUAGCACUGAGCUGGAGAACACCAAGCUGAGUGCUGAGCUGCAGAUGCUAAAGGCAGUGGAGCUGAACCGAGAGGUGACCAUUGCUCAGUUCCAGGAGGAGCUGGAGAGACUCAGGAGCUGCGUGGCCCAGCGCGACAGUUUGGAGAAAGAGCUGCUGAUGCUCAAAGCUGACAAGGUUGAGCUGGUGCGUGUGCGUGAGCAGCUCCGUCAGGCCGAGGAGCAGCUCGCUGCAUCCAGGCAGCAGGCUUCCCUGCUGGCCUCGGAGCUCCGUGACUCAGCCAGCUCCCGAGACCACUCCAUGACAGAGCUGUACCGUGCGCGACUGGAGGUCGACAAGCUCCGUGACAGCCUGGCUGACGCUCAGGCCGAGUGUCAACGUAUGGAGAGCCAGUUGGACCGCAUGAGGAGCACCGCGCACAAGGAAGUGGGUGUUGGAACCAACGGCGAGGUAGCACCCGGCACACUGAUUGUGUCGGAGGUCGAGGCUGAGCUGCAGAGGGAGGUCGAGGAGCUGAAGCUGCGCCUCCACAUGGCCGCUGAGCACUACAAGGAAAAGUACCGAGAGUGCCAGCGGCUUCGCAGGCAGGUGGCCAAACUGAACACAAGCGAUUCGCAACCGGAGCAUAAGAGAAAUGCAUCCACUGAGACAGCUUUGGAGCCACUCACCCCAAGUCCACAAUCACCCACAGGAGGAAGUAUUGGCGCAGCGGCCCUCCAAGACACUGCGGCUGAGACAAUCAGUGCUGAACUUGAAAGUACACCCAGUAGCACAGAGAAUGGGGAGAAGCAGAGCGAGGAUGCGUCGACAGGGAAAGAAGUGAACCAGGAAGAGGAGGGCCAAGAACACGACGCGAGACGUGAGGAGGACAGCCUGAGGAUGACCAGCUGGGUGGAAGUGGAGGGCAAUGGAGAGGCGGAACAACAGCCGGAGGAGGAGGAAGAGGAGGAAGACAAUGAGGAGACGAGCAGCUCAGAGGAGGAGGCGUCAGAGAGGGAGCAGACCCACUCGGUGGAGGAGGAGCUGGCACUGAUGGAGGAGAAGUGGAAGGAGCAGUGCGCCAUCAACGAGACUCUCAAACAGCGUCUGGCCAAUGAGGAGGAGCGAUUUAGAGUACAGAUGGCAGAGCGGACCACUGAGGUGAUGGACCUCAAACGCGACCUUGCCCAAGCUUUGAAAGACAAGGAGCGACUGCAGGAGGAGUUGCAUCUCUUUGUGAGUCAGCAGAGGCAGCGUGACGCCCGCACUGAAGGUGCUGAGGUCAAGCAGCCCAUGGUGCUGCGUUAUCCGCUGCCAUACCCGCAGGACCCGUCACCGCCCCCUCUGGUACCACAGAGACCCGCUGAGCUGCAGUAUGGUAACCCCUACGCUACUGGCGACACAAAAGAACAGGAAGCAGAGGUUGCACUUUCUCCCGAGCAAAUGUCGCGGCCUCCACCUGAAGCCCCGCAUUGCGCCACUCCCUGCGCGCCACCGAUCACAUCCCUAAAUGCGAGCCCUGUUGCACCAGGCUGGGACAGAGAGGUGGUCUGCAUCCAGCCGACACGCAGCACCACCCCCCCGGAGACUGUGGACGUGCCACCUGCAGAGGACCCACAGAAUGUCUGUGAUGGGGCUCAGCCAGCUUGUGACCAUCAACCCAACAGACGUGCUGAAGCCAGAAGCAGCUUCUGCUUUGACGCAAGUGGUGACGUCCACAAGCGCUGCCCCCUCUGCGAGGUCAUCUUCCCGCCGCACUUCGAGCAGCGCAGCUUCGAGCAGCACGUGGAGAGCCACUGGAAGGUGUGUCCCGUCUGCUCCGAGCAGUUUCCCCUCGACUGCCAACAGCGCCUCUUCGAGAAACACGUCCUCACGCACUUUGACGGACACGUGCUCAACUUCGAUCAGAUCGAGUGACGGGCACGGCGUGGCACCUCACUCUCUCUUCCCCCGCUCCCUCAAAUGUGGUCAGUUGUGUCGUUCAUUCCGUGUACAAUCAUUGGAACUUCUUUGCAGGUAGAACGUGGAGGGCGACUUCCUCUCAAAUAGGUCUGCUUCCCUUUCUUUACUUUAAUGCUCAUCAUUGUUGCACCACGGCAGUGCAUGUGAAUACUCUUACUAUCGGCUGCAAAGAAAGAACACAAUGGUGUGUAUUUUAAGUGUAAAGGAAUAUGUGGGAUAUAACAGACUUGGUAGCUUCCAAAGCAUAGUGCUGUUAAAAUAAAUCUGCACUAAAUAAGGCUUUAUUCUGAAUGUAAUGUACAUACGGACAUUUGUUUUGUCAGACGACUCCUGGCGUGCACUUUCUGCUUUAUGUUGAGGUUAUCGGAAGACACUUUGAAUCAUCAAAUGACCAUAUUCCAUAAAAAGUGGUGUGUGUGUAUACACAUUAAAAGCUGGAUGAAUGUAUGUGUACCUACAUUGCUACAUCGUCACUGCUUUAUUCUUAUUUAUUCAGGCUUUACAAAUUGCACACUCAAUCACAAAGCCGACGUGUGUGUGUGUGUGUGUGUGUGUGUGUGUGAGAGAGAGAAUAUAAGUGUGACUGUCAAAAAUAUCUUUAUGAAUAAAGAAGCUUAUCCAACAGUUUUGAUCUUUAUUUUUGCGUCACCUCUUUACAUUGAAGCAGCUUUUCGUUUUUAUAUAGAAAGACAGUAAGCCCCUCCCCUGCCCCGAUACAAAACACUUAUUUCCACGUUACAUACGAAAAUAUAAUUUAAAAGCACUUGACAACAGAAAAGACAUUUUACGAUACAUUCACUGUACAUGGUAAAUAUUGGACCCUCCCUGGUCCUCUUAUGUGUAAUACUGCCAUUGUGGCCACUGAUUGGACGACAGAUUCUCCUAUGGGGCUUUUUAUUUUUUAUAAAUAGGGUGAAAAUUGGCAAAAUGUGCGGACAAAUAAGCUCAUAGUUGAGCAUUUAGUGCAGGGGGUGCAGAACUAAUCUACUGUAUAAUAUAUGAAAUGUCUUCAUUUUUAGAAUAGCAUGGAGGACCAGGUCAAAUGCUGACGUGCCAUAUAUGGCUCAUGGACCACAGGUUACUCGCCCUGCAAUAAUCAUGUGAUUUCUCUCUUUUUUUUUUUUUUUAAACCCAAGAGGCAAUGAGUGACAAAUCGAUGUCGGCCCUCCUGCUGCACAGGAGCGACCCAACACAGCCUGGCACUGGGCAGGCAAAGGGUUUCUCGUCCCCACCGUUCAUACACAUGGAGCUGAGGAUGGACUCGGAGCUGAUGGCGCUUUCUGUGGUCCACGACUCGUCGCUGUCUGACUCCUCGUAGUCUACCUCCUCCUCAUCAUACUCACUGCCUGGGGGCCGAGAUGGAGAAAAACAUCCAUUACAAUGGCACAUAUGAUAAAAGAGGUAACCCUAACCCUAACCGAAUGAACAUGGCUGGUCCUGUUGCUGAUGCUGCUUUGUCAAAAGGUAAUCUCUUAAUUUGUCAAUGGGGUUUGGGCUAAUUCAGUUGGGUUCAUCAUCUGCCAUUCCACCAAUACAAUUUGGACACUUCCAACUACAGUCCAAAUGCAUUGGGAAAAUAUGGCGGUAACAGCUUCCGCCCUUGUGGGAAGACUUUAUAUUCAGCUGUGUGAGGAUCACACAAAUUGUUCCACAUCCCUUCGGAGCGAGCACGGGGGAAAGAGCCCUCGCCAAACUGUUCCCACAAAGUUGGAAGCCCAUUAUUGACUAUCAUCGAUAAAAGCCACAGAAUCAAGUGUGUGGUGGUGUGUCAAGGCGUCCACAUGGUGUAGCUAUCGGAUACUGUAAUUAGAAGCAUAUUACUGUGUAAAGUUUUGACAAGAGAUAAUUGAGCUGAAUAAACUGCCCUUUAAAAAUCCAUCCUGCCAUCUAAACAUGUUACAGUGACUACCGAUGACAUUUACAAGCUCACCGCUUCAACAAUUACCCACAUCUUACAAACUCUCUCUUACUAUUCGCUGACAUAUUUCUUUAUGUUGUGGCCUGGAGUGAUUUAGGAGGGGCGUGACAUUUCGGUCGACCACACUCACAUACUCACUCACAAACAAACACACACACACACACACACAGGCCGUCAUUUUGGAUCGCCGCCCUUUCUUUAGCAGUCAGGCGUCUUGUGUCUUGUGUGGUUCGUCUCUACUGCUGCCGCUCUAUAGAUGAGUCAUGGCUUUUGUCCAUGGGAAGACAUCUAUCACUCGCACCGCCUGGAGCUAAAUGAACACACGCAAAGGCCAUUUUCUCAGCGGCGGCGCAACGCUGCCACCUACAGACCCAGUGGCAGUACCUGUUGAUGUAGCUGAGGGCCAAGUAGGUGGGCUGCUGUUGCUCCUGCUUCUCCAAGACCCGGGGAUCCGUAUCUGAAACAGGAGAGAUGUUACGUGUUAACCAAACUCAUUUCCCACACUUUGUGACAAGUUAGAUAAUUUCACAGGCACGCUAUUGGGUCCUUCCCAUUCCCAGACUUGGAGUCUGAGAGUUGCAAAGAAGAAUUUUUGCCUGGGAGUGAAGGCGCUGUGAUGAAUGUAUACAGUGUAUUUCUAAAACACACACACACUUUAGGGCAACUUCCACUGCCUGAGGGGAGCACUAUUAACUUCAAAACAGUACCCCCCUCCUCCAAACCCCUGGGAAACUGAGGGUGGAGCUACUGUGAAGUGCUAGCGCCAUCAAGUGUUCAGCAAGGGACCAACCAAAGGAAUCCCCUAGCGUGCUAAUAGUAAUGUAAUGACUAUCAGAUGGGUCAUAUCUGUGCGACUGUUUCCAAAAAC